Molecule: long non-coding RNA, 382 nt
Organism: Gallus gallus (chicken)
Lineage: Eukaryota; Metazoa; Chordata; Aves; Galliformes; Phasianidae
Source: Ensembl
GUCCUUUUGGGGUCUGAGAGGGCUUAUAGAGUCUGUAUGGGGUCCUAUAGGGUCCUUAUGGGGUCUAAAAGGGUUUAUAGGGUCUCUAUGGGGUCCUAUGGGAGCUUUAUGGGGUCCUUAUGGGGUCUGAGAGGGCUUAUAGGGUCUUUAUGGGAGUUUAUGGGGUCCUUAUGGGGUCUGAGAGGGUUUAUAGGGUCUCUAUGGGGUCCAAUGGGGUCUUAUGGGGUCCUUAUGGGGUCUGAGAGGGCUUAUAGGGUCUCUAUGGGGUCCAAUGGGGUCUUAUGGGGUCCUUAUGGGGUCUGAGAGGGCUUAUAGGGUCUGUAUGGGGUCUCUGUGGGGUCCUAUAGGGUCCUUAAGGAGUCUAAAAGGGUUUAUAGGAUCU